AGUGGCGGACGGGUGAGUAACGCGUGAGGAACCUGCCUUUCAGAGGGGGACAACAGUUGGAAACGACUGCUAAUACCGCAUAACGCAUGGGUAUCGCAUGGUAUCUGUGCCAAAGAUUUAUCGCUGAGAGAUGGCCUCGCGUCUGAUUAGCUAGUUGGUGAGGUAACGGCUCACCAAGGCGACGAUCAGUAGCCGGACUGAGAGGUUGGCCGGCCACAUUGGGACUGAGAUACGGCCCAGACUCCUACGGGAGGCAGCAGUGGGGAAUAUUGGGCAAUGGGCGCAAGCCUGACCCAGCAACGCCGCGUGAAGGAAGAAGGCUUUCGGGUUGUAAACUUCUUUUAAGAGGGAAGAGCAGAAGACGGUACCUCUUGAAUAAGCCACGGCUAACUACGUGCCAGCAGCCGCGGUAAUACGUAGGUGGCAAGCGUUGUCCGGAUUUACUGGGUGUAAAGGGCGUGUAGCCGGGCUGACAAGUCAGAUGUGAAAUUCCGGGGCUCAACCCCGGACCUGCAUUUGAAACUGUUGGUCUUGAGUAUCGGAGAGGCAGGCGGAAUUCCUAGUGUAGCGGUGAAAUGCGUAGAUAUUAGGAGGAACACCAGUGGCGAAGGCGGCCUGCUGGACGACAACUGACGGUGAGGCGCGAAAGCGUGGGGAGAAAACAGGAUUAGAUACCCUGGUAGUCCACGCUGUA
RNAcentral lists this ribosomal RNA (694 nucleotides) under uncultured bacterium. RNAcentral's name for it is "bacterial SSU rRNA". It matches the Rfam family "Bacterial small subunit ribosomal RNA", at positions 94 to 804 of the family's 1533-position model. The record is from RNAcentral.